This 2197-nucleotide long non-coding RNA is filed under the name Homo sapiens (human). Its description in RNAcentral is "HSALNT0016216". The record is from RNAcentral. Lineage: Eukaryota; Metazoa; Chordata; Mammalia; Primates; Hominidae.
GUGAGCGGGCUGCUCCGCAGCGGGGCGUGGGCACGGCCUGGGCAGAGCCGGGGGCUCUUGGCAACCUCUUGUCUCCCGCGCCUCCCUCCACCUGCCCUCGUCUCUCUCCCUCGGCCUCGACCUACUGUCCUUUGUGACCCUUCCUGGGUCGGCGACCCUGCAGCGGUCCCGGAGCCAGCAUCCCCAUCCUCCAGACAGGGCUUGUCCACGCGUAUCUGGAGAGCCCUGCAGGCAGCCCCCUCCAGGCCCCUGCAAUCCCUUUCUGAUGUUUCGCAGGCCCAGAAGAAGGCCCCUCCGCCGACCCCGCCGCCGUUGCCGUAGCCGAAGGCACCGCGGGCGCCGCCAGCCCCGGAGCCCCCGCAGCAGCAGCAGACGAGCCCCCAGAUGCCUACGGCCAGGCAGCCCAGCGCGAGCAGAGAGCCCAGGACGAUGCCGAUGAUCACGCCUAUACGCCGGGAGUCUGUGGAGAGAAGUGGAGGCAGCUCCAGGCCAAGAGAACAACAGCUCAUUCCUGAGAUAAGGAUCCUGCUGCCAUCUGCCAGAUCCUGAGGCUGCUCAAGGCAAGCCAGGGAUGAGCCAGAACUCGGCUGAGAGCAGAGGCUCCACCCUGGAGAAGCACCGCUGGAAGCACCCACACAGGAAGGACUCUCUCCAUGCCAUAGGAGCCUGCCAGGCAGGAUGUCAGCAAGCUCCUCAGCCCCCUCUCCCAAGUCCCCAUGUAGCCCAGGGCUCACCCUGCAGCACCCAGGGAGGAGCUGUCCUGCAGAGGAAACCUCUGAGGUAAGACUCUGGGAGCAGAAGCUGUGAGUGACAAUGGAUAGGCAAAGAGUCACAGAGAAGCCAAGGAGCCUUGCAGCUGCUGUCUGUCCACCCAGCUUUCAGUGAUGAUUUGGAGGUGGAGGUCUGCCAGGUGAGGCCAUGGUUGCAUGAGAAGGGCAGGGGGCUCAGAGGUUGCAUGGGUGGUGAUGGGACAACGUCGGAUUCUGGUUACAGAGAGGGAUGAGAUCGACAUGUGGGGCUAAGUUUGAGGGUGUGGGUUGGGUUCGAAACUAAGGCUCAAAUCAAAGCUGGCAGGGAAGAGCCGUGAACACAGGUGACACAGGGACUCCCCAAGCUCCUGCUUAGGUUUCCCAAACCUCAGUGGUUCUGACUGGUACACUUCAGAAGAAGUGGGAUUCUAGGAGGAGCCUGGAUAUGCCCACAUCUCUCCCAUCAAGCAAUGUCCUGAAGCUGACAGACUCAGAAGAGCAAGCAGCACACACAUAGUCCCCAUCAAUUAAAGGAGUGGCUGGAGUUGUCACUACAUCAACAAAGCACAAGAGCAAAGGGAGGCGAUUGAAUGCCACCAACUGAAUUGUUAGCAAGAGAAUGAGUGGAGGCGAGAAGAAAUCGCUUGUAAAGGCUAUGUGAUUCCCUGAUGACAGAUCUGAGGAAGAAUGAAGAGGCUUUGAAGAUAAAGGUAUCUUCACCUCGCCAAGAUCAACCACAUCCUGCAGAACCUUCAUUCAUUCAGCAAACAGCCAGGCUUUGUGCUAGGCCCUGGGGAAAUGGCAAUUAAGGAGACUCAGUCCCUAUCCUCACAGAACACCCCAUCUGACACGGAAAUAGCUCCUGGCCCGCAAUGUGGUAAGAUGCAGUAAUACGUGCAAGGCCCCUGACUUAGUGGCAAUGAUGUUUAAGCCGAGAUCUGAAGGAUAACUAACAACGGCGUGCCAGAGAAAAGAGUAGCGGGUGGAGAGAGGAGGCCAGGGGAAUAUUUCUGGGCUUGGUAAGUAAGCCAGGUCCCUGCCAGACAUGGACUGAGAAGAGCAAAGCCAGGAGUGACAGCUGACGAUUAUUUUUUAACUGAGGAAGGAAGAUCCUUGAGAACGGAACCUCUUGGGACCUUCUACCCAGAACACCAGAGCACCUCACUGGGAUCAGAGCCAGGCCAUCGGGUGGAUUAAGCAACUAAAAUUGAUUGUCCUGAACCAUGAGUCUGUCUGUUUAUGGGGAGAGAAACUUUGAGAUGAAUUAAUCCACAGGUCCAAUGGGACUUUGACAUUUUAAUUUGUAGAAAUAAAACUUGCCUUUGAUUUUGCCAUCUGGAUUCCCCAAACACGUAUCUACAGAGUGGAACUGUGGUGCCCCUUGACCUGCAGGGUGGCCCCAGGCCUGCCUUGCCCCGCUGGCAGUUGCCCAGGAAGGUGUGUAGGAG